Molecule: long non-coding RNA, 1493 nt
Organism: Astatotilapia calliptera (eastern happy)
Lineage: Eukaryota; Metazoa; Chordata; Actinopteri; Cichliformes; Cichlidae
Source: Ensembl
UUUUGUUUAUACUUCAUUUGGAAUUAAUUUCCAAUAAGAAAAUGUUUCCUUCCAUAUUUUUACCUUUUUGUUUCACUGAUGUGAUUAUUUUUCUUAAGUUUUUCCAGUGAAAAAUAUCCAUUAACUUAUACACACACACACGAUACCGGUGUUUGCUUACCACAGGAGUGCACAAAGCAAGUUUGGCAUAGCCAGUGUGAUAGGUGGCUCAAAAUAAGCUAAAACCGUUUAGUUCUAAAAUGUAAAAAGUUGAACUAAUAGACGCUUUCAGCUGCUCCUCUAUUUCCACAGAAGUCCCAAAACAGAUGGAUCCACAUCACUUGGCACAGAAUUUAUGAUGCAACCUCCCAUUUGUCUGAGCUUAAAGUCCACAAACCUGGCCUAAUGUUUCGUUCACUAUGACCUGAAAUUAGCAAAUCAGCCCAUGAACUCACCAGGAAACAAUUUAAAGAGGUCCAGGCAGACAGAUAUUUACACAGGAGCUUAAAUCUUUUUUGCAACCAUAACUAUCGCCCCCUGGUGGCCAGCGAGAAAAAAAUAUAGGUUUAGGGCACUUUGUAUUGGCUUCACCUUUCAGACCUGGAGUUUGAAAAGAGACUAAAGAGGACAUUUGAAACACCAGCUGAGUCUCCAUCAGCACAUAAAGAAACUAUUGAUUGUCCCCACUUCAGUCAGAGACGUCACAGAGAAGCAUGCAGUGAAAGGAAACACUGCAAAUACCUGAACUCUGUUACUCACAUCAAUUCAGCUGAAAUUCCAGCAAUAAACACAUUUAGCAGCUAAUCAGCAGUAAUGAAAAGAUGAAAGUGUUGCACUCGACAUUAAUGUGGCCUUGUGGCACACCCGUCUGCUGCCACCAUCUUUACAUCAUCAAACACUUCAAAACUAAUGCUGGGCACAAAAUUUCAACUGUGGAAAUCUAACGUGCAGAUUUUGUAUCUGGAAAAGUAUCGACUGAACUGAAGAAAUCAUCGACGGUGGGACUGAGUAUGUGUGCUGUACAUCACAAUGUUUUGUUCAAUUUUGUUAACACCAGUGAGGUUUUUCUUGUGGUAGUGUUUUUUUAAAAACUUUUUUUAACUCUUUCUCUCAUUAAGUUGAAAUUUGUAAUUUUUUUAAACCUGAGUAAGCUAUGAGAGCAGUUGUAUGAGCUGUAGUUUAUGUUUUCUGUUAUUCAACUGAAUGAAACAGCAUAAAGAGUUUUUGAAUAAAGUGAGACAUGUUUUCAACAGUAGAUGAGUCAAUGUGGGCUUUUAACUGGACUGCUAGGAUGAGUCAGGAUGUUGGGUUAAAUUUGAUUUGGAAAAUAACUAAAGCUGUCAAACAAAUGUAAAGGAGUAAAAAAUACUGAAUUUUCUGCAAUAAAUCUUUUAAAAUAACAGCUGUAAAAAUGCUGUAAAAAGACUAUAAUCUUAAAAUGUGAGUUUAAGGUUCACCAUAAUCCAGUUUGCAUUUGUUCCAGGUUUGCUGUACUGCAACCUUAGAGAUCAUCA